RNAcentral lists this ribosomal RNA (801 nucleotides) under Triticum aestivum (bread wheat). Its description in RNAcentral is "partial small subunit ribosomal RNA". The record is from RNAcentral. Lineage: Eukaryota; Viridiplantae; Streptophyta; Magnoliopsida; Poales; Poaceae.
AUGACGGUGCCGCUGCUCUCACGCCCGGCGAAAUUGAUGCAUUCGGUUGCCCCCUCGACCUCCUCGCUGCCGCCUGCUGUUGUUCUUCAGUCAGAUGCACUGGCGCAUGUAAGGCGUUCGACGGGAUACCACAUCCACGAAGUUGAUCAGGGCAUCAAGCAGCAACCAUGGCCGCCUCCAAUUCGAGUGCAGAUCACAACUGAUGAUGAUAUGCAGGUCCUUGGCAAGGCUGUGGAUGGUGACAUUGGCUCUCUGUGGUGGCCACCUGACCACCAGCCAAGGAUGAAAAUCAAGUUGCCAGAAUGGCAUCUUCCUAUUCAGUUACAGACUUUGUUUGUCACUUCUGUGGAGUUGCAACCAUGGCCUUCUGGGCAGCUCACUUUCUUGGUUCCCACUUGUUAUAGUGAGAUGAUUCCUGCUUCUGCUCAUGUUCGAACAAAUAGCAGGGAGUGCACCAUCCAAUCUGCACUGCACAGCUCUUGUGAACAAUUUCAAAGGAGAGUUGCAUGGACUCUCAGUUUUAUGAAGAAAACAUCUGAUCGUAGGCCCGGCCUUGUGCACAAGUUUCAGUUUCUGUUACCAUCCGACACUCCUCGAGCAGUACACCUUUGGUCUGAACUACAAAUUGUGGAAUUCAGUCAGCAUCAGUUUAUUAUUCGUACGCACGUCAGUGAGUUAGCUAGUCGCUUUGUCUUGAGAAAUUGUGGAGCACUAGAGAUUGGUCGCAUGUGGUACUGGUUUAUGCUGCUGUUUGGGGGAUUCCUAUUCAUGGAAAAAUGCUGGGAGCAGUACAGAUUAUGA